RNAcentral lists this ribosomal RNA (253 nucleotides) under uncultured bacterium. Its description in RNAcentral is "partial 16S ribosomal RNA". It matches the Rfam family "Bacterial small subunit ribosomal RNA", at positions 524 to 776 of the family's 1533-position model. The record is from RNAcentral.
UACGUAGGGCGCAAGCGUUGUCCGGAAUCAUUGGGCGUAAAGAGCUCGUAGGUGGUCUGUUACGUCUGCUGUGAAAUCCUAGGGCUUAACCCUGGGCCUGCAGUGGAUACGGGCAGACUAGAGGUAGGUAGGGGCAAGCGGAAUUCCUGGUGUAGCGGUGAAAUGCGCAGAUAUCAGGAGGAACACCGGUGGCGAAGGCGGCUUGCUGGGCCUUACCUGACGCUGAGGAGCGAAAGCGUGGGGAGCGAACAGG